GAUCAUGGCUCAGAUUGAACGCUGGCGGCAGGCUUAACACAUGCAAGUCGAACGGUAACAUGAAGAAGCUUGCUUCUUUGAUGACGAGUGGCGGACGGGUGAGUAAUGCUUGGGAAUCUAGCUUAUGGAGGGGGAUAACUACGGGAAACUGUAGCUAAUACCGCGUAGAAUCGAGAGAUGAAAGUGUGGGACCUUCGGGCCACAUGCCAUAGGAUGAGCCCAACGUAGGGGAGUUAAGGG
This 240-nucleotide ribosomal RNA is filed under the name uncultured bacterium. RNAcentral describes it as "partial 16S ribosomal RNA". It matches the Rfam family "Bacterial small subunit ribosomal RNA", at positions 15 to 251 of the family's 1533-position model. The record is from RNAcentral.